This 294-nucleotide ribosomal RNA is filed under the name uncultured bacterium. Its description in RNAcentral is "partial 16S ribosomal RNA". It matches the Rfam family "Bacterial small subunit ribosomal RNA", at positions 434 to 720 of the family's 1533-position model. The record is from RNAcentral.
UUUCAGUGAGGAAGAACGCCUGGUGGUUNAUACCCAUCAGGAAAGACAUCACUCNCAGAAGAAGCACCGGCUAACUCCGUGCCAGCAGCCGCGGUAAUACGGAGGGUGCGAGCGUUAAUCGGAAUUACUGGGCGUAAAGCGCGCGUAGGUGGCUUGAUAAGCCGGUUGUGAAAGCCCCGGGCUCAACCUGGGAACGGCAUCCGGAACUGUCAAGCUAGAGUGCAGGAGAGGAAGGUAGAAUUCCCGGUGUAGCGGUGAAAUGCGUAGAGAUCGGGAGGAAUACCAGUGGCGAAG